CGGGGACCAUCCCGUAAGGCUAAAUACUCUCUAGUGACCGAUAGUGAACAAGUACCGUGAGGGAAAGUUGAAAAGAACCCCGGGAGGGGAGUGAAAUAGACAGUGAAACCGUAUGCUUACAAAAAGUUAGAGCCCGUUAAUGGGUGAUAGCGUGCCUUUUGCAGAAUGAACCGGCGAGUUAUUGUAUUAUGCAAGGUUAAGUUGAAUAGACGGAGCCGAAGCGAAAGCGAGUCUUAAUAGGGCGAUGAGUAUGAUGUAAUAGACCCGAAACCGAGUGAUCUAGCCAUGAGCAGGUUGAAGGUAAGGUAACACUUACUGGAGGACCGAACCGACGUACCCGGAAACGUGCGCGGAUGACUUGUGGCUAGCGGAGAAAUUCCAAUCGAACUCGGAUAUAGCUGGUUCUCCCCGAAAUAGGUUUACGCCUAGCCUCGUGGUAAAGCUUCCUGGAGGUAGAGCACUGAAUAGACGAUGGCGUCGUAUAGAUGUACUGAAUUUAAUCAAACUCCGAAUGCCAGGAAAGUAUACACGGGAGUCAGUGUAUGGGUGAUAACGUCCAUACGCGAGAGGAAAACAAUCCAGACCACCAGCUAAGGUCCCAAAUUUCAUGUUAAGUGGGAAAGGAUGUGGAGUUGUCUAAACAGCUAGGAGGUUGGCUUAGAAGCAGCCACCCUUUAAAGAGUGCGUAAUAGCUCACUAGUCGAAUGACACUGCGCCGAAAAUGUACCGGGGCUAAACAUGAAACCGAAGCUGUGGAUUUUAUAGAUAAUAUAAAAUGGUAGGGGAGCGUUCUAAUUGCGACGAAGAUGGAUCGUGAGGACUGUUGGAGCGAUUAGAAGUGAGAAUGCCGGUGUGAGUAGCGCAAGAAGGGUGAGAAUCCCUUCCACCGUUUGCCUAAGGGUUCCUGGGGAAGGUUCGUCCUCCCAGGGUAAGUCGGGUCCUAAGACGAGGCCGAAAGGCGUAGCCGAUGGACAACAGGUUGAUAUUCCUGUACCACCUAUAUAACUGAUGGAGUGACGAAGGAGGCUAUAGAAAGCCAGUUAAUGGAUUCUGGUCUAAGCACAAAGGCGUACAUAUAGGCAAAUCCGUAUGUAAUGUAGCUGAAGUGUUAUGGUGAAGGUAAUAGCGAUAUUACUGAAAUUUCUAGACGCCAAACUUCCAAGAAAAGCUUCUAGGGUUAAUUAUAUAGGUGCCCGUACCCAGAACCGACACAGGUAGGCAAGGAGAGUAUCCUAAGGUGAGCGAGAGAACUAUGGUUAAGGAACUCGGCAAAAUGACCCCGUAACUUCGGGAGAAGGGGUGGUCUAGCGAUAGACCCGCAGUAAAGAGUCCCAGGCAACUGUUUACCAAAAACACAGCUCUCUGCUAAAUCGAAAGAUGAUGUAUAGGGGGUGACACUUGCCCAGUGCUGGAAGGUUAAGAGGAGAGGUUAGUAAUGACUUCGGUUAUAUUUACGAAGCUUCGAAUUGAAGCCCCAGUGAACGGCGGCCGUAACUAUAACGGUCCUAAGGUAGCGAAAUUCCUUGUCAGGUAAGUUCUGACCCGCACGAAAAGUGUAAUGAUCUGGGAACUGUCUCAACCAUAGACUCGGUGAAAUCUUAAUACCUGUGAAAAUGCAGGUUACCCGCGACAGGACGGAAAGACCCCAUGGAGCUUUACUGUAGCUUGAUAUUGGAUCUCGAUGUGUUAUGUAGAGGAUAGGUGGGAGACUAUGAUGUUAGGACGCUAGUUCUAACGGAGUCAACCUUGGAAUACCACCCUUAGCAUGUUGAGAUUCUAACCUCGACCCAUUAUCUGGGUCAGGGACAGUGUCUGGUGGGCAGUUUGACUGGGGCGGUCGCCUCCCAAAAAGUAACGGAGGCGCUCAAAGGUUCCCUCAGAAUGGUUGGAAAUCAUUCGAAGAGCGUAAUGGUAUAAGGGAGCUUUACUGCGAGACCUACAAGUCAAGCAGUUACGAAAGUAGGACAUAGUGGGCCGGCGAUUCAGAAUGGAAUGGUCGUCGCUUAACGGAUAAAAGUUACCCUGGGGAUAACAGGCUGAUACCACCCAAUAGUUCACAUAGACGGUGGUGAUUGGCACCUCGAUGUCGGCUCGUCACAUCCUGGAGCUGGAUUCGGUUCCAAGGGUUGGGCUGUUCGCCCAUUAAAGUGGCACGCGAGCUGGGUUCAGAACGUCGUGAGACAGUUCGGUCCCUAUCCG
Molecule: ribosomal RNA, 2199 nt
Filed under: human gut metagenome
Description: bacterial LSU rRNA
Rfam family: Bacterial large subunit ribosomal RNA
Source: RNAcentral